The sequence is a small RNA, 286 nucleotides long. It matches the Rfam family "5' ureB small RNA". The record is from Rfam.
UCCUCCACCUGCUGCGGGCAGAUAUAGUGGAUAUGCGCGUCGAUGCCGCCCGACGUCAGUAUCUUGCCCUCGCCCGCGAUGAUCUCCGUUCCCGGCCCGAUGACGAUGUCCACGCCGGGCUGGAUGUCGGGAUUGCCCGCCUUGCCGAUGGCCGCGAUGCGCCCGUUCUUCAGCGCCACGUCGGCCUUGUAGAUGCCGGUCCAGUCGAUGAUGACGGCGUUGGUGACGACCGUAUCCGCCGCGCCCGCCGCAUUGGUGAUCUGGCUCUGGCCCAUGCCGUCGCGGA